CCUACGGGAGGCAGCAGUGGGGAAUAUUGGACAAUGGGGGAAACCCUGAUCCAGCGACGCCGCGUGAGUGAAGAAGUAUUUCGGUACGUAAAGCUCUAUCAGCAGGAAAGACAAUGACGGUACCUGACUAUGAAGCCCCGGCUAACUACGUGCCAGCAGCCGCGGUACUACGUAGGGGGCAAGCGUUAUCCGGAUUUACUGUGUGUAAAGGGAGCGUAGACGGCAGCGCAAGUCUGGAGUGAAAUGCCGGGGCCCAACCCCGGAACUGCUCUGGAAACUGUGAAGCUGGAGUGCAGGAGAGGUAAGCGGAAUUCCUGGUGUAGCGGUGAAAUGCGUAGAUAUCAGGAGGAACACCGGCGGCGAAGGCGGCGUACUGGACUGUAACUGACGUUGAGGCUCGAAGGCGUGGGGAGCAAACAGGAUUAGAUACCCGAGUAGUC
This 440-nucleotide ribosomal RNA is filed under the name uncultured bacterium. Its description in RNAcentral is "partial 16S ribosomal RNA". It matches the Rfam family "Bacterial small subunit ribosomal RNA", at positions 338 to 795 of the family's 1533-position model. The record is from RNAcentral.